This 187-nucleotide ribosomal RNA is filed under the name Rhizophagus irregularis. The record is from RNAcentral. Lineage: Eukaryota; Fungi; Glomeromycota; Glomeromycetes; Glomerales; Glomeraceae.
CAGUCGUACCUGCGGAUAAUCAGCCUUUCGGGUGCGAUUCUGAGAGGCGUGAGGAGCUUAACCGCCUUCAUGUUUUGCAUAUUCGUGCACAUUUGGUGUACUUGUCCGUGUGGUGGGUUAACAUCAAUUUCGGUCGUCAUAAAAUGGCUGGAGGAAUGUAGCUUUGAUCUCAUUAUCGAAGUGUUAU